RNAcentral lists this ribosomal RNA (572 nucleotides) under Hanstrassia lenae. RNAcentral's name for it is "eukaryotic LSU rRNA". The stretch from base 208 to 361 matches the Rfam family "5.8S ribosomal RNA". The record is from RNAcentral. Lineage: Eukaryota; Fungi; Ascomycota; Lecanoromycetes; Teloschistales; Teloschistaceae.
CGGAAGGAUCAUUAAUGAGAGGGGGGCUUUGUGCUCCAGGGGCUCACACCCCGCACCUUUCCACCCUGUGUAUAUCUGCUACUGUUGCCUUGGCGGGCCCCGGGAUCUCUCCCGGCGUUGGUCCCCUAACGGGUCCCGCGAGUGCUCGUCAGAGGCCCAUCUAAAAUCUGUUUUAUUAGUGAAGUCAGAGUUCAUAUGAAUUAUUAAAACUUUCAACAACGGAUCUCUUGGUUCUGGCAUCGAUGAAGAACGCAGCGAAAUGCGAUAAGUAAUGUGAAUUGCAGAAUUCAGUGAAUCAUCGAAUCUUUGAACGCACAUUGCGCCCUUCGGAAUCCCGAGGGGCAUGCCUGUUCGAGCGUCAUUAAACCCCUCAAGCUUUGCUUGGUAUUGGGUGCCGCCCCCCGGUUUUAGGGGAGCGCACCCGAAAUUUAGUGGCGGUCUGGGGAGACUUCAAGCGCAGUAAAACUUAUCCGCUUUUGAAGCUUUCGACCUGGGGCCCGGCCAGCGAAGCUUCUAUUUGCAAGAAUUGACCUCGGAUCAGGUAGGGGAUACCCGCUGAACUUAAGCAUAUC